GCGAAGGCAGGUCUCUGGGCCAAUACUGACACUGAGGAGCGAAAGCGUGGGGAGCGAACAGGAUUAGAUACCCUGGUAGUCCACGCCGUAAACGGUGGGCGCUAGUUGUGCGAACCUUCCACGGUUUGUGCGACGCAGCUAACGCAUUAAGCGCCCCGCCUGGGGAGUACGAUCGCAAGAUUAAAACUCAAAGGAAUUGACGGGGCCCCGCACAAGCAGCGGAGCAUGCGGCUUAAUUCGACGCAACGCGAAGAACCUUACCAAGGCUUGACAUAUACAGGAAUAUGGCAGAGAUGUCAUAGCCGCAAGGUCUGUAUACAGGUGGUGCAUGGUUGUCGUCAGCUCGUGUCGUGAGAUGUUGGGUUAAGUCCCGCAACGAGCGCAACCCUCGUUCUGUGUUGCCAGCAUUUAGUUGGGGACUCACAGGAGACUGCCGGGGUUAACUCGGAGGAAGGUGGGGAUGACGUCAAAUCAUCAUGCCCCUUAUGUCUUGGGCUGCACGCAUGCUACAAUGGCUGGUACAAACGGCUGCGAUACCGCAAGGUGGAGCGAAUCCGAUAAAGCCAGUCUCAGUUCGGAUUGGGGUCUGCAACUCGACCCCAUGAAGUCGGAGUUGCUAGUAAUCGUAGAUCAGCAACGCUACGGUGAAUACGUUCCCGGGGCUUGUACACACCGCCCGUCACAUCACGAAAGUCGGUAACACCCAAAGUCAGUGGCCCAACCGUAAGGAGGGAGCUGCCAAAGGUGGGAUCGGUGAUUGGGAUG
RNAcentral lists this ribosomal RNA (765 nucleotides) under uncultured Actinomycetales bacterium. RNAcentral describes it as "bacterial SSU rRNA". It matches the Rfam family "Bacterial small subunit ribosomal RNA", at positions 715 to 1482 of the family's 1533-position model. Lineage: Bacteria; Bacillati; Actinomycetota; Actinomycetes; Actinomycetales. The record is from RNAcentral.